UACGUUAUCCUGAAGUGUGUUUUAUAAGGCUGCCAGAUAUCCACCAUCCAUUUAUUUUGGCAUUCCAAUGCACAUAGGGUGGACAAACCUGCCUGGACCACAUGCUUUUCAGCUGGGUUUUGUCAUUUGGUUAUUUUGAAUAUUCUAUUUAGAUUAUUAUUUCUCUAUCAAGGAAAUCUACACACAUGUAGCUUUCCAAUAAACAUGACUUUAAUGUUUCUCUGUUGGAAUUAGAAGCUGCUAUAAUUCAAUUGUAUAUUACUAAGUGAAUCUACUAUACAAAUGCAUAUUAUAACUUUUGUCUGGUUUUUUAGUUGCACUGAACUUUUAAUGACAGGUGAGAUGCCUUUAGUGAGAGUAUAAUGCUUAUACAGAAGAAUGAAGUUUCCUAUUAGCAACUACAAACAAUUUUUUAUUUUAUAGUUGGACAAUCUGAAGUCAAGAAUUCAACUGAAGAAGCAAAAUGGAUUUGCUUGCAGUGAGACGAAGACGUGGAGGAAAUCCUGUGCUGAUGAGGUUGCCAUCUCCCUACAUGAGAAUGAGCCAGAGUAUGAACUAGACAGACUCCCAGAGGUGGUGAAAAAAGGGUUUCCUGCUAUUCCUGUUGUGAAAACCGACCCUUACAUUUUGUGCAGAACAACUUUUAACCUAAGGACCAGUCCCCGUCUUGCUGCCCAAAGCCAAAAAUUGUCACCCUGUUCCCAACUUUUACGAAAAGGCAGGUCAGAUAAUCUUGGGGAGAUCUGUAAACCGACAGCUGGUGGCAGCAAAUCACAAAAGGUAGAUGAUACUCAACAGUGCCAAGCAGAAACAGCUAUUGAACCCAUGGAAUCUAGUUCAAGAUCUCUUUGCAUAAAUGAGCAACCCACAAAAACUGUUGCUCAGACCUCUAGGGAGAAUAUUAACACUCACAAAGGCAGAUGUUCCUUGAGCACACAAACAUCACCUGAGCAAAAUGAAGAAGGCCAAAACUGCAUAAUACUGUAAAACUGAGUAGUAUAAGGCCCCUACCGUCAAUAAAACCCUAACCCUGCCUCUUGACCCCUUUACCCUGCCCCUUG
Long non-coding RNA from Malaclemys terrapin pileata, 1061 nucleotides. RefSeq lists it as uncharacterized. The record is from RefSeq and is a predicted model, not a curated record. Lineage: Eukaryota; Metazoa; Chordata; Testudines; Emydidae. The transcript is spliced from 4 exons.